Molecule: long non-coding RNA, 735 nt
Organism: Portunus trituberculatus (swimming crab)
Lineage: Eukaryota; Metazoa; Arthropoda; Malacostraca; Decapoda; Portunidae
Exons: 3
Source: RefSeq, a predicted model, not a curated record
AGAGUGUUUCUCCACUUGAUAAUGUAAAAAUCUCAUCACUACCUAUAGAUAUGUAAAAACACCUUAAAAACUUACACAAGUUUAAAUAAGGUCUGUUGAAGUAGUGGAGGUGAAGCACAGAAGAGUUUGAGAAUACAAGCCAUAGUCACCAUCUUAUCUUCCUGGUGAUCAUGUCCUGUGGCUGGUAUCAGUAAGCACUCUAGAUAAGCAACAGUGACUAGGAAUGCACUCCACACACACUCUUAGUUGCUGUCUUUUCCUUGAUGGUGUCUGUGUGUGUGUGUGUAUUUGUGUGUGUUUGCAGUGUCACAGUGAUUGGUCAUGUUGGGUUUGUGAGGUGUUGUAAUGUAACAGUACUGUUAUCAGUGAGGUGUGGUAAUGUUAUCAGAUGUGGUAAUGUUGCCAGACAGAUGCAGCAUUGUCAUCAUUAGCACAAACCAGCCAUAUCUUCCUUUAUCUCUUCAAUACCAUGAUGUGUUCUCAUAUUCAUUCUGUUUACUAUUUGGUUAGAAAAGUGAGGGAGGAAGAAAGAGGAAGAGGAUGACAGGACGGGGAGGCAGAGGAAGAGCAAGAGGACGAGGGCAACAGCAACAACAACAACAACAACAACAACAACAACAACAACAACAACAACAACAACAACCUACAACCUUUCCAUAUUACCCAAACCAGGAUGAAAUAUCUGCCUAUCUAUCAAGCCUACAGCUGCAGGAAGAGAAGAGACCAGUGCUGGAA